Molecule: ribosomal RNA, 253 nt
Filed under: uncultured bacterium
Lineage: Bacteria
Description: partial 16S ribosomal RNA
Rfam family: Bacterial small subunit ribosomal RNA
Source: RNAcentral
UACGUAGGGGGCUAGCGUUGUCCGGAAUCAUUGGGCGUAAAGCGCGCGUAGGCGGUCCGGUAAGUCCGCUGUGAAAGUCGGGGGCUCAACCCUCGGAUGCCGGUGGAUACUGCCGGGCUUGAGUACGGAAGAGGCGAGUGGAAUUCCUGGUGUAGCGUUGAAAUGCGCAGAUAUCAGGAAGAACACCCGUGGCGAAGGCGGCUCUCUGGGACGGUACUGACGCUGAGACGCGAAAGCGUGGGGAGCGAACAGG